Molecule: ribosomal RNA, 480 nt
Filed under: uncultured Campylobacterota bacterium
Lineage: Bacteria; Pseudomonadati; Campylobacterota
Description: bacterial SSU rRNA
Rfam family: Bacterial small subunit ribosomal RNA
Source: RNAcentral
UGGAGAGUUUGAUCCUGGCUCAGAGUGAACGCUGGCGGCGUGCUUAACACAUGCAAGUCGAACGAUGAUUAAGAGCUUGCUCUUAUGAUUAGUGGCGCACGGGUGAGUAAUGUAUAGCUAACGUGCCCCAUAGAGGGGGAUAACAGUUGGAAACGACUGCUAAUACCCCAUACUCCUUCUUCCUAUAAGGGAAGUCGGGAAAGUUUUUUCGCUAUGGGAUCGGGCUAUAUGAUAUCAGCUUGUUGGUGAGGUAACGGCUCACCAAGGCUAUGACAUCUAACUGGUCUGAGAGGAUGAUCAGUCACACUGGAACUGAGACACGGUCCAGACUCCUACGGGAGGCAGCAGUGGGGAAUAUUACACAAUGGAGGAAACUCUGAUGUAGCAACGCCGCGUGGAGGAUGACACAUUUCGGUGCGUAAACUCCUUUUAUACAGGAAGAUAAUGACGGUACUGUAUGAAUAAGCUCCGGCUAACUCC